AAAAGGCACAGGAGAUAAUUUCGGGACUAUUCUGAGACUUAAUAUAACUGGAUGUAAAAGAAACUUUAAAAGUAGAUUUGAGAAAACGAACCAAGGGUAUUUAACAAAACGACAGUGUAGAUGCUUACCUGUGGAAAAGUUGAGGAGACAGAUGAGCUGAUUCCGGUAUCCACGAAUCUUGCAGGAGUGGGAGCUGACGGCCGAAUGACCAGGACUUACCCGAAGUAAUGGAAAGAGGUCGGAACAAAGUUGAACUCGAG
Molecule: unclassified non-coding RNA, 260 nt
Filed under: Hevea brasiliensis (rubber tree)
Lineage: Eukaryota; Viridiplantae; Streptophyta; Magnoliopsida; Malpighiales; Euphorbiaceae
Source: RNAcentral